ACCCAGCUGACGGGUCCCAAAUAGGACGAAGUUCUUAUCCUGGAU
Molecule: non-coding RNA, 45 nt
Filed under: Trichobilharzia regenti
Lineage: Eukaryota; Metazoa; Platyhelminthes; Trematoda; Strigeidida; Schistosomatidae
Source: RNAcentral